Molecule: transfer RNA, 76 nt
Filed under: Actinomycetota bacterium
Lineage: Bacteria; Bacillati; Actinomycetota
Also listed under: 1 other name
Description: tRNA-Glu
Rfam family: tRNA
About the family: Transfer RNA (tRNA) molecules are approximately 80 nucleotides in length. Their secondary structure includes four short double-helical elements and three loops (D, anti-codon, and T loops).
Source: RNAcentral
GGCCCCGUCGUCCAGCGGCCCAGGACGCCGGCCUUUCAAGCCGGUAACGCCAGUUCGAAUCUGGUCGGGGCUACCA